GAUGAACGCUGGCGGCGUGCCUAAUACAUGCAAGUCGAGCGAACGGACGAGAAGCUUGCUUCUCUGAUGUUAGCGGCGGACGGGUGAGUAACACGUGGAUAACCUACCUAUAAGACUGGGAUAACUUCGGGAAACCGUAGCUAAUACCGGAUAAUAUUUUGAACCGCAUGGUUCAAAAGUGAAAGACGGUCUUGCUGUCACUUAUAGAUGGAUCCGCGCUGCAUUAGCUAGUUGGUAAGGUAACGGCUUACCAAGGCAACGAUGCAUAGCCGACCUGAGAGGGUGAUCGGCCACACUGGAACUGAGACACGGUCCAGACUCCUACGGGAGGCAGCAGUAGGGAAUCUUCCGCAAUGGGCGAAAGCCUGACGGAGCAACGCCGCGUGAGUGAUGAAGGUCUUCGGAUCGUAAAACUCUGUUAUUAGGGAAGAACAUCUGUGUAAGUAAUUGUACAGAUCUUGACGGUACCUAAUCAGAAAGCCCCGGCUAACUACGUG
Molecule: ribosomal RNA, 497 nt
Filed under: uncultured bacterium
Lineage: Bacteria
Description: partial 16S ribosomal RNA
Rfam family: Bacterial small subunit ribosomal RNA
Source: RNAcentral